AACGAACGCUGGCGGCGUGUCUUAAGCAUGCAAGUCGAGCGGCAAGGAAGUGCUUGCACUUCCCUAGAGCGGCGGACUGGUGAGUAACGCGUGGGUGAUCUACCUCGGGGUUGGGGAUAGCCAUUAGAAAUAGUGGGUAAUACCGAAUACGCUUCCAGGGCUACAGCCUUGGAAGGAAAGGCGCUACGGCGCCGACCUGAGAUGAGCCCGCGUCCCAUUAGCUAGUUGGUGAGGUAACGGCCCACCAAGGCGAUGAUGGGUAGGCGGCCUGAGAGGGUGUACGCCCACAUUGGGACUGAGAUACGGCCCAAACUCCUACGGGAGGCAGCAGCUAAGAAUAUUCCGCAAUGGACGAAAGUCUGACGGAGCGACGCCGCGUGGAUGAUGAAGGCCGGAAGGUUGUAAAAUCCUUUUGUCGGGGAAGAAUAAGCGUGGGAGGGAAUGCCCGCGUGAUGACAUGAACCGGCGAAUAAGCCCCGGCUAACUACGUGCCAGCAGCCGCGGUAAAACG
Molecule: ribosomal RNA, 511 nt
Filed under: uncultured bacterium
Lineage: Bacteria
Description: bacterial SSU rRNA
Rfam family: Bacterial small subunit ribosomal RNA
Source: RNAcentral